AUCACCCAUUCGCCUGUUUACAAAAACAUAACCUUUAGUCGAAAAACCAAUAUUAAAGGCAACGCUGCUGACCCAGUGAGCAAUUCUAACGGCCGCGGUACCCUAACCGUGCAAAGGUAGCACAAUCACUUGUCUAUUAAUUGUAGACCUGUAUGAAAGGCAAAACGAGGGCCUAUCUGUCUCUUGUAGUAAGUCAAUUAAACUGAUCCCCCAGUCCAAAAGCUGGGAUACCAACAUAAGACCAGAAGACCCUGUGAAGCUUAAACUAAACUAUUAAAUCUCAUAAUAGCUCCUUUCGGUUGGGGCGACCUUGGAAAAAAAAAGAACUUCCAAACACACUGACUUUACAGUCACCCACCCAGGCCAACAAGCCUAACAACGACCCAGCACAGCUGACAACUGAACCAAGUUACUCCAGGGAUAACAGCGCUAUCUUCUUCAAGAGCCCAUAUCAAAAAGAAGGUUUACGACCUCGAUGUUGGAUCAGGACAUCCUAAUGGUGCCAGCCGGUAUGAAGGGUCUCGUUUGUCUCAUAACGAUUAACAGUCCCACGUGAUCUGAUUUCAGACCGGUGUUCAACGAUUAAAACCCUACGUGAUCUGAGUUCAGA
RNAcentral lists this ribosomal RNA (610 nucleotides) under Naja sputatrix. RNAcentral's name for it is "partial 16S ribosomal RNA". It matches the Rfam family "Bacterial large subunit ribosomal RNA", at positions 1782 to 2615 of the family's 2925-position model. The record is from RNAcentral. Lineage: Eukaryota; Metazoa; Chordata; Lepidosauria; Squamata; Elapidae.